GGGCAUGUGGUGGAAUUGGUAUACACGUACGCUUCAGGUGCGUAUGCCGCAAGGCUUGGAGGUUCGAGUCCUCUCAUGCCCACAA
This 85-nucleotide transfer RNA is filed under the name Candidatus Kaiserbacteria bacterium. RNAcentral's name for it is "tRNA-Leu". It matches the Rfam family "tRNA". From Rfam's summary of the family: Transfer RNA (tRNA) molecules are approximately 80 nucleotides in length. Their secondary structure includes four short double-helical elements and three loops (D, anti-codon, and T loops). Lineage: Bacteria; Candidatus Kaiseribacteriota. The record is from RNAcentral. RNAcentral also lists the same sequence under 1 other name.